RNAcentral lists this ribosomal RNA (289 nucleotides) under uncultured Christiangramia sp. RNAcentral describes it as "uncultured Gramella sp. partial 16S ribosomal RNA". The record is from RNAcentral. Lineage: Bacteria; Pseudomonadati; Bacteroidota; Flavobacteriia; Flavobacteriales; Flavobacteriaceae.
CUACACGGGUUUCUAAUCCUGUUCGCUACCUACGCUUUCGUCCCUCAGCGUCAAUAUAUUAUUAGUGAUCUGCCUUCGCAAUAGGUGUUCUGAGUAAUAUCUAUGCAUUUCACCGCUACACUACUCAUUCCAACCACUUCAUAAUAAUUCAAGAACAACAGUAUCAAUGGCAAUUCUACAGUUGAGCUGCAGACUUUCACCACUGACUUAUUAUCCCGCCUACGGACCCUUUAAACCCAAUGAUUCCGGAUAACGCUUGGACCCUCCGUAUUACCGCGGCUGCUGGCAC